Molecule: ribosomal RNA, 169 nt
Filed under: Plesiomonas shigelloides
Lineage: Bacteria; Pseudomonadati; Pseudomonadota; Gammaproteobacteria; Enterobacterales; Enterobacteriaceae
Description: partial 23S ribosomal RNA
Rfam family: Bacterial large subunit ribosomal RNA
Source: RNAcentral
GUUGUAUGGUUAAGUGACUAAGCGUACACGGUGGAUGCCUUGGCAGUCAGAGGCGAUGAAGGACGUGCUACCCUGCGAAAAGGGUUGGUGAGCUGGGAUGGAGCGCUAUAGCCAACCAUGUCCGAAUGGGGAAACCCACCUAAGAUAACUUAGGUAUCGUUAAGUGAAU